This 305-nucleotide long non-coding RNA is filed under the name Capsicum annuum. RNAcentral's name for it is "long non-coding RNA (CANN_LNC011166)". Lineage: Eukaryota; Viridiplantae; Streptophyta; Magnoliopsida; Solanales; Solanaceae. The record is from RNAcentral.
UUAUCUUAUCUUCCAGCUGGCAUGCUUAUCUUCUUGAUUCUUUUAUUCUAGGUGGACUUCUGGGAUAAUAUUAUCUUCUCCAUUACAUCUUGAACAUUGAUGGUCUGGAUAUUUAUGUCCAAUUAUCUUGCAAUAUCUUGUCAAUAAUCCAUCUGAAAUAAAUCCUUUCUUAAUUGCUCUUGCAGUAGAUUAUUUUUCUGGGUUAAGUAAUGUCAUUAUCCAUUGCCUAACAUCUUCCAUAUCUGGUUGUCGUAGUUCUUUUGAAUUUGAAUAAAUCAUCUGAUGGUCUCUUGAAUAAUAGCUNN